AAUUUUGGACAAUGGGCGAAAGCCUGAUCCAGCAAUGCCGCGUGAGUGAAGAAGGCCUUCGGGUUGUAAAGCUCUUUUGUCAGGGAAGAAACGGUGAGGGCUAAUAUCCCUUGCUAAUGACGGUACCUGAAGAAUAAGCACCGGCUAACUACGUGCCAGCAGCCGCGGUAAUACGUAGGGUGCAAGCGUUAAUCGGAAUUACUGGGCGUAAAGCGUGCGCAGGCGGUUUUGUAAGUCUGAUGUGAAAUCCCCGGGCUCAACCUGGGAAUUGCAUUGGAGACUGCAAGGCUAGAAUCUGGCAGAGGGGGGUAGAAUUCCACGUGUAGCAGUGAAAUGCGUAGAUAUGUGGAGGAACACCGAUGGCGAAGGCAGCCCCCUGGGUCAAGAUUGACGCUCAUGCACGAAAGCGUGGGGAGCAAACAGGAUUAGAUACCCUGGUAGUCCACGCCCUAAACGAUGUCUACUAGUUGUCGGGUCUUAA
RNAcentral lists this ribosomal RNA (481 nucleotides) under bacterium. Its description in RNAcentral is "bacterial SSU rRNA". It matches the Rfam family "Bacterial small subunit ribosomal RNA", at positions 360 to 833 of the family's 1533-position model. The record is from RNAcentral.